CUUGAGUUGUCUCUCAUGUCUAGACCAUUUGUGAGAAGGGAGUUUUUGUUUGCACCAAUACCCACCAAUCUCUAAAUUUGUAAGAAGUAUUAUGCUCAAUUAAGGAAAAUAGUAGUUCAACAUACCACACUACCCUUUUAAGUAGUAUCAUCCUAUAUGUUAUAUGCUACCUUAGCUAAAUUUUGCGUUCUCAUGGUGCUGCAGUAGGGUUAGUUUCUUGUGUACCUCUAGAUAUACAUUCUCUUGCUGCGUAGGGUUCCCAAGCUGUCAAAACUAGUGAUCAGUUCCCCUUGAUAUUCUGAUCCUUCAGAAGUUAGGUAUAGAAGUAAGUCGAUUAAGUUCAUUCAUGACUUUUCCAGAUGUUGCAUACAUAACUUUUUUUCAUUUGUAUUCGAACUAGUCCAAGCCGAUUCUCAAAAUCAUAUAAAAUCAUUUACACCUUGGUCAUGGUAGCUAAGAAUAUUGUAUCUAAAAUUGGGGAGUGGGGAGAUGUUUGGUUAUAUUCCCUUCUCAUCGAUGGUCUAGAUGUGCGAGGUGACUUUCAUGAACA
This 550-nucleotide microRNA precursor is filed under the name Arabidopsis thaliana (thale cress). RNAcentral's name for it is "MIR824 microRNA precursor family". It matches the Rfam family "MIR824 microRNA precursor family". The record is from Rfam by way of RNAcentral. Lineage: Eukaryota; Viridiplantae; Streptophyta; Magnoliopsida; Brassicales; Brassicaceae.